Ovis aries (sheep) is the source of this 73-nucleotide transfer RNA. It matches the Rfam family "tRNA". From Rfam's summary of the family: Transfer RNA (tRNA) molecules are approximately 80 nucleotides in length. NCBI's taxonomy places the organism in Eukaryota, Metazoa, Chordata, Mammalia, Artiodactyla, Bovidae. The record is from Rfam.
UCCCUGGUGGCUCAGAAGGUAAAAGCGUCUGCCUACAGUGCAGGAGACCGAGGUUUGAUCCCUGGUUUGAGAA